This 468-nucleotide ribosomal RNA is filed under the name uncultured bacterium. RNAcentral's name for it is "partial 16S ribosomal RNA". It matches the Rfam family "Bacterial small subunit ribosomal RNA", at positions 28 to 507 of the family's 1533-position model. The record is from RNAcentral.
GACGAACGCUGGCGGCGUGCUUAACACAUGCAAGUCGAACGGAAAGGCCCUGCUUUUGUGGGGUGCUCGAGUGGCGAACGGGUGAGUAACACGUGAGUAACCUGCCCUUGACUUUGGGAUAACUUCAGGAAACUGGGGCUAAUACCGGAUAGGAGCUCCUGCUGCAUGGUGGGGGUUGGAAAGUUUCGGCGGUUGGGGAUGGACUCGCGGCUUAUCAGCUUGUUGGUGGGGUAGUGGCUUACCAAGGCUUUGACGGGUAGCCGGCCUGAGAGGGUGACCGGCCACAUUGGGACUGAGAUACGGCCCAGACUCCUACGGGAGGCAGCAGUGGGGAAUAUUGCGCAAUGGGCGGAAGCCUGAUGCAGCAACGCCGCGUGCGGGAUGACGGCCUUCGGGUUGUAAACCGCUUUCGCCUGUGACGAAGCGUGAGUGACGCUAAUGGGUAAAGAAGCACCGGCUAACUACGUG